This 455-nucleotide unclassified non-coding RNA is filed under the name Melitaea cinxia (Glanville fritillary). RNAcentral describes it as "misc RNA ENSMCXG00005012528.1". The record is from RNAcentral. Lineage: Eukaryota; Metazoa; Arthropoda; Insecta; Lepidoptera; Nymphalidae.
CAUAUCGUCGGUGAUAUUCUGAAACCGCGGAACUAACAGUCUUUAAAACCGCGUAUUUACAAAAGUAGCAAAAUCGAGAUUUCGCGGGCUUAGCUUUGUUGUAGUGAUUGGCUGCGUUCUGUGAUGUUGGCCGGGCCGAAAAUCCAAUAGGAAGCCGUGAAAUCGAAUGUCUUUUAAACCGCGAAACGUCAGGUGAUUGUUUAUUGUGCCCAAACCGCGAAUCUACGCAUCAUAACAUGAAAAGUGUGUUUGUUUAACGAAGCGUGCGUGAAAUAGUGUGGUUUUUAUUAUAAAUGCUGCAAUAAUUGUUUACGUCAUGGAGCAAGAAAAUGAAUCUGCGGAUGUAUCUGUUGUCACUUUAAGAGAUCUAGAAAAACGUCGCGCCGAACUUGUACGUAAAAAGCAGCUCAUCUUGGAUAAACUGAAUAAUACUAACUUACACAUCCCAAAUAAAA